AGGUCAUGUAAUGCAGCCAAGGAUGACUUGCCGGCAAGCUUCUUUUGGCAUUGUGAAUCAAGUUUUAAACCGUGGUUGCAGUUUCAUUGUGAUAAAUUGCGGAUAAAUGCGGCCAAUGUGCAGCAUUUUGGUCACAGUAACAUAAAAAAUCUUGAUGCUGUGGUUGAAAUCAGGACAUGUGGACCGGUUUUUAAAACCUUGAUUGUGAAGACCUAAUCACAUUAGUUAUGCUCACAUGCACAUUAUGCUGCCUUAGAAGUCAAGUGUAACUAGUUGCCCGGCAAGUCGUCUCUGGCUACAUAAAGGCCUCC
Glycine soja is the source of this 311-nucleotide non-coding RNA. The record is from Rfam. NCBI's taxonomy places the organism in Eukaryota, Viridiplantae, Streptophyta, Magnoliopsida, Fabales, Fabaceae.